GCAGUGGUGGUUCAGUGGUACAAUUGUCGCCUUCCAUGCAGGCGACCCAGGUUCAAUUCCUGGGCAAUGCA
Molecule: transfer RNA, 71 nt
Filed under: Loxodonta africana (African savanna elephant)
Lineage: Eukaryota; Metazoa; Chordata; Mammalia; Proboscidea; Elephantidae
Rfam family: tRNA
About the family: Transfer RNA (tRNA) molecules are approximately 80 nucleotides in length. Their secondary structure includes four short double-helical elements and three loops (D, anti-codon, and T loops).
Source: Rfam by way of RNAcentral